RNAcentral lists this ribosomal RNA (467 nucleotides) under uncultured bacterium. RNAcentral describes it as "partial 16S ribosomal RNA". It matches the Rfam family "Bacterial small subunit ribosomal RNA", at positions 28 to 506 of the family's 1533-position model. The record is from RNAcentral.
GACGAACGCUGGCGGCGUGCUUAACACAUGCAAGUCGAACGGAAAGGCCCUGCUUUUGUGGGGUGCUCGAGUGGCGAACGGGUGAGUAACACGUGAGUAACCUGCCCUUGACUUUGGGAUAACUUCAGGAAACUGGGGCUAAUACCGGAUAGGAGCUCCUGCUGCAUGGUGGGGGUUGGAAAGUUUCGGCGGUUGGGGAUGGACUCGCGGCUUAUCAGCUUGUUGGUGGGGUAGUGACUUACCAAGGCUUUGACGGGUAGCCGGCCUGAGAGGGUGACCGGCCACAUUGGGACUGAGAUACGGCCCAGACUCCUACGGGAGGCAGCAGUGGGGAAUAUUGCACAAUGGGCGGAAGCCCGAUGCAGCAACGCCGCGUGCGGGAUGACGGCCUUCGGGUUGUAAACCGCUUUCGCCUGUGACGAAGCGUGAGUGACGGUAAUGGGGAAAGAAGCACCGGCUAACUACGU